RNAcentral lists this ribosomal RNA (425 nucleotides) under uncultured bacterium. RNAcentral's name for it is "partial 16S ribosomal RNA". It matches the Rfam family "Bacterial small subunit ribosomal RNA", at positions 354 to 796 of the family's 1533-position model. The record is from RNAcentral.
GUGGGGAAUCUUAGACAAUGGGCGCAAGCCUGAUCUAGCCAUGCCGCGUGAGCGAUGAAGGCCUUAGGGUUGUAAAGCUCUUUCGUGGGGGAAGAUAAUGGCUGUACCCCAAGAAGAAGCCCCGGCUAACUCCGUGCCAGCAGCCGCGGUAAUACGGAGGGGGCUAGCGUUGUUCGGAAUUACUGGGCGUAAAGCGCACGUAGGCGGACUGGAAAGUCAGGGGUGAAAUCCCGGGGCUCAACCCCGGAACUGCCUUUGAAACUCCCAGUCUUGAGUUCGAGAGAGGUGAGUGGAAUUCCGAGUGUAGAGGUGAAAUUCGUAGAUAUUCGGAGGAACACCAGUGGCGAAGGCGGCUCACUGGCUCGAUACUGACGCUGAGGUGCGAAAGCGUGGGGAGCAAACAGGAUUAGAUACCCCUGUAGUCC